GGUUAUGAACAUGCAUGGCGUGAGGCCUGACGACCUGAUAAAUAUGCAGCACUACAAUCUCCUCUGCUGGCCCAUGCACUACCAGAUGAAAUACCACUUCUACCAAGGCCUCUCCUGGCCCCAGCUCUCUUACAUUGCUGAGGAUGAGAAUGGAAGAUUGUGGGGUAUGUUCUGGCCACAAUGGAAGAGGGCUCAGAUGAUGUGCUCCAUGGACAUACCACCUUGCUGGCUGUGAAGCAGUCCCACCAGCGCCUUGGCCUGGCUCUGAGGCUAACACACGAGGCUUCUCAAGCUAUGGUAGAGAACUUCAGUGCCAAAUAUGUCCCCUGGGCCAUCCUGUACCUCUAUU
Molecule: long non-coding RNA, 349 nt
Filed under: Marmota monax (woodchuck)
Lineage: Eukaryota; Metazoa; Chordata; Mammalia; Rodentia; Sciuridae
Source: RNAcentral